AUCUACUCAAAAAAUUUUUUAUAAAAUUAAUUAAUUAGAAGGAACUCGGCAAUUUAAUGCUCCGCCUGUUUAUCAAAAACAUGGCUCUUUGUAAACAAAAAAUAAAGAGUCGAGCCUGCCCAGUGAAUUUUCAACGGCCGCGGUACUCUGACCGUGCAAAGGUAGCAUAAUCAUUUGCCUUAUAAUUGAAGGCUAGUAUGAAUGGUUUGACGAGAGCAAUACUGUCUCCUUAUUAUUUUCAAGAACUUAACUUUUAGGUGAAGAGGCCUAAAUUUUAUUGAAGGACAAGAAGACCCUGUCGAGCUUAAAAGAUUAUAUAGGAGUCUAUAUAUCUUUAGAUAAAUUUCUAUUGAGCUUUUUAGUUGGGGCGACUGAGGAACAAAAAAAGCUUCUUUUUAAAAAAUAAACAAUCAUGUUUAGAUCCGGUAGUAGCGAUUAAGGAAAUUAGUUACCGCAGGGAUAACAGCAUAAUCUCUCUUGAGAGACCUAAUCGAAAGAGGGGGUUGUGACCUCGAUGUUGGACUAGAAUAUCCUAAAGACGC
Molecule: ribosomal RNA, 542 nt
Filed under: Semisulcospira ningpoensis
Lineage: Eukaryota; Metazoa; Mollusca; Gastropoda; Semisulcospiridae
Description: partial large subunit ribosomal RNA
Rfam family: Bacterial large subunit ribosomal RNA
Source: RNAcentral